GAUGAACGCUGGCGGCGUGCCUAAUACAUGCAAGUCGAGCGAACAGAUAAGGAGCUUGCUCCUUUGACGUUAGCGGCGGACGGGUGAGUAACACGUGGGUAACCUACCUAUAAGACUGGAAUAACUCCGGGAAACCGGGGCUAAUGCCGGAUAACAUUUAGAACCGCAUGGUUCUAAAGUGAAAGAUGGUUUUGCUAUCACUUAUAGAUGGACCCGCGCCGUAUUAGCUAGUUGGUAAGGUAACGGCUUACCAAGGCAACGAUACGUAGCCGACCUGAGAGGGUGAUCGGCCACACUGGAACUGAGACACGGUCCAGACUCCUACGGGAGGCAGCAGUAGGGAAUCUUCCGCAAUGGGCGAAAGCCUGACGGAGCAACGCCGCGUGAGUGAUGAAGGUCUUCGGAUCGUAAAACUCUGUUAUUAGGGAAGAACAAAUGUGUAAGUAACUGUGCACGUCUUGACGGUACCUAUCAGAAAGCCACGGCUAACUACGUG
Molecule: ribosomal RNA, 496 nt
Filed under: uncultured bacterium
Lineage: Bacteria
Description: partial 16S ribosomal RNA
Rfam family: Bacterial small subunit ribosomal RNA
Source: RNAcentral